ACGAAUUGCAGAUCCUCGUGAAUCAUCAAAAUUUUGAACGCACAUUGCGCUUUUGGGUAACUCCCAAGAGCAUGCUUAUCUGAGUGUUCCUAA
This 93-nucleotide ribosomal RNA is filed under the name uncultured Minidiscus. RNAcentral describes it as "partial 5.8S ribosomal RNA". It matches the Rfam family "5.8S ribosomal RNA", at positions 67 to 154 of the family's 154-position model. From Rfam's summary of the family: 5.8S ribosomal RNA (5.8S rRNA) is a component of the large subunit of the eukaryotic ribosome. It is transcribed by RNA polymerase I as part of the 45S precursor that also contains 18S and 28S rRNA. The record is from RNAcentral. Lineage: Eukaryota; Bacillariophyta; Thalassiosirophyceae; Thalassiosirales; Thalassiosiraceae.